UCGUGAUGGAGGAUGAUGCGGCGGUUGC
RNAcentral lists this non-coding RNA (28 nucleotides) under Bombyx mori (domestic silkworm). Lineage: Eukaryota; Metazoa; Arthropoda; Insecta; Lepidoptera; Bombycidae. The record is from RNAcentral.